UUGUAGCAACUACUCCUACUAGUGCCUAGAGACCGUGUCACGCGCUAAAACUACUUGGGACCAGCUAAAAUCAACAUUUCUAGCUCAAGAACAGGGUCACCAAGGUAGCAAGAAUACGCGAAGGAUAAAGCACUAGAGUAAAAACUAAUUGGACCAAUGGAGGAGUCACUUACCAAGGAGUAAUUUCCCCAAAACGGUUCGGAGAAUGGUGCUUUGAGCAAGGAGAUCGAAAAUCACAGCCAAAUGAGCAAGAACACGGGUUUGAG
Molecule: long non-coding RNA, 266 nt
Filed under: Hordeum vulgare
Lineage: Eukaryota; Viridiplantae; Streptophyta; Magnoliopsida; Poales; Poaceae
Description: long non-coding RNA (HVUL_LNC018387)
Source: RNAcentral